AGUCGUCAGGCUGGUGGUGAUUGGAAAAUUUGAUGUGGACGACGUGCUAAAGGCGAUGGAUUGCCACCACAGUGUCCUUCGUUCCAUCGAGAACAAUUACGAGCCCCCCAAAAAGAAGGAAGCAGGCUCUAGCGUUAUAUAUGUGUACACCCACACCUACAACCAGUGGAAAACGUAUGAAACUAAAAAACGUAACGUUUUAAACGCGUUAAAAAACGCCGUUCUAAACUCCCAACGAGUUUGCACUAUUUGCGAAAAGAGACAAAGGUUUCUUUAGGGUUUCUUCAGAACUUCAUAAGGGAUCUCCCUCAUUGCUUUGCACGUUUUCACACCUCUUGCCCAAACUCCAGCACUCGCUCCGCUCCCCCAGUGUGAAUCUCAUGACAAUACUUACAUGUCCAGUGCCGCUCUGCUUGUAUCACAUGCUUCCAGCUCCAGCAUUCGUGGCGUCCUCCAAUUCCUGCCAUGAACCCUUAAAAAACCUCGCAGCAGUUUUUCCGAUUUCGAGCUAGCAGACCCAGCAGAUGCCGAUGAUGGGCAUCUGCUGCAGCAAGCCGCACAGGGUUCAGGGGGGCCAGCAGAAUCUAUGGUGGCAAGCACGGAGAACUGGUCCAGUGCUGAGACAAGCAGAUCAGCGAAACGGCUUCUUCUUUCAUUUGUUUUAGUAUGUUAUUCGGUUGGGUUUUAUAAACUUAAUAUUANNNNNNNNNNNNNNNNNNNNNNNNNNNNNNNNNNNNNNNNNNNNNNNNNNNNNNNNNNNNNNNNNNNNNNNNNNNNNNNNNNNNNNNNNNNNNNNNNNNNNNNNNNNNNNNNNNUUUGAACGUUUGCACGUCUAGCUGCAACUAUGACUGGAAGUGAGUUAAAUAGUGUUUGUGUGUAAAAAUAGAUUUUCUCUUCCACCUCAAAUUCUUGAAUGUGGAAUUCAUGGGAGUGAAGCCAAUUUCGAAAGUUGAUGUCUCAAUCAAGGGCAUUAAUUUAUCUCGGUUCAGAGUUCAAAAGUGAAUCUAAAACAUUGAUCCCACAGAAAGAAGAAAGAAAACGCACUGGUGCAUUUGACUGUAAAGGAAUGUGGUUCAUUCUUCACCUUGAACUUUGAGGAGAUUAAUUCUCUUCCUAAGAGUUUGAAAAUGAACGUGCGUCAUCACAUUUUAAAGAGUGGAACUCUGAAAAAAACCAUUUGUUUUAUUCCUCUCAACAGGAGGAGACUUGAACGAAGUCACUUUUCAAUUGCAGGAUAAAAAUGAUGUUUUGACGAAGUGAGUUCUUUACUAGAGCUGAGAGCCACAGUAUCAAACUAGAUUUAAUUUGUUUAGAAGAAUGUAUAAUGCUAUUCAAGCUUCAAAGUUUAGAAAAAUGGUCCGUGAACGUACACUGACCUUUCAAUCUUACCAUGGAUUUAAGCGAUCAAUGUAAGCUUCUUUGGUCUCCCAGCUAGAAUGGAUUUGACAAAGUUGAUGGCCAGUCGCGAUUGUGGUCCUUCUGGGUAAAAGUUUAAGUCAAGGACGCUUCUUUGGUCUCCCAGCAUGGGUUUUGUCAGCGAUUUCAAAAAGCUGCAACUCAUCAAAUGACGUCAAAUGUGAGGCACGAGAAAGGGAAGCCCAUGUGAAAGUCCAGUGUAUGCUCUGAAAACUUUCUAUACAAUGCAAGAGAGAAGCUUUGAAAUGGUCUUCGAUUUGGCAAUUUAGCGGUGGCUAAACUGUAGAAUCCAGCUAUAAAAACCGCCACAAAGUUCGAACGUGAGCAGCAAGGCAUCUCGCAGCGUGUUCUUCGGAGUUGCAAAGUCUCAGCAAAGGUUCAAGAAAAAAUCUCGAUCCAUUUUUCCUCCUUUUGCAAGCAUGAAGAAGGUGACACUCUCAACUUGUGGGAGCUGCGAGGGAAAGACUGAUGCGCUUAAGAAGAUCAAAGGUAUGUGGAUUGGAAAUUUGAAAGCUGAUAUCGUUUCUUGUUUUUGAACAACAGGGGUUGAUAAGGUGGAAUGGGAGUCGUCAAGCCUGGUAGUGAUCGGCAAAUUUGAUGUGGACGACGUGGUCAAGGCGAUGGAUUGCCACCACAGCAUUCUUCGUUCUGUCGAGAACGAUUAUGAGCCCCCAAAGAAGGACAAGGAGAAGAAGGGCGGUGGUUCUAGCGUUGUAUAUGUUUACACCCACACCUACAAUCACUACAAUUGCAAGUGAACUUCAGGAGUUUCUGAUCUAAAAGCCAAGUUCUUAGGGUUUCUUAUUUCGCAUACUUUAGUUUAAAAUUUAACCCUCAAUUUAACGUAAGGGUUUAAGGAUGGAAUUAAAUUUUCAAAACUUGAAUAUUUUUUGAUCAAACUGAUGAAUAAUGCCGGUGCUCAGCCGUAGUCAAUACGAUCGGUGUGGAGUUCUAGAAUAGUAAACUAGCAGAGUUUUUUCCUACCUUACCUUUCUUUAUGUUAUAAAAAACAACCAUCGAUUAACUGGUCCGAACUCACGGGAAACAGCUUUUUGGGGCCGAAAUUUCCACGAAAUUGUUCCCGCAAGGACAAUUAUGAGAGAGUAGAAGAAGGAACAUCAUGAAGUUCAUCCCACGGUGCCACGCAAUGUGUUGGAAUAGUGGCAACGACCACUUCAAGUAGGGAAUCACCCAUUUGCUGCUGUAUGAUUUGCUGCUCAACUUGGAAUCUAAGUUCUGGGUUCAAACGCGACAACCUUUUGCAGGCUUUGAUGAAUCGGUCUCUCAUAAGAAGAAUAGACAGUUAAAGUUGCAACACAGCGGAUCUAGACGUGUGGAAUUUUCUUCUGCAUUAUGUCGUCUUUGACUAUUCGCUGAAAUCGCGAGGAAUUUGGUGGUGACGCGUCGUCCUACAAAGACUGUACCGUAGAAUCAAGCUAUAAAAACCGCAAACGUGAGCAGCAAGGCAUCUCGCAGCGUAUUUCUCGAUUUUCUGGCACAUCUUGAGCGAGCAACUCCAGUUUCCUUUCCUUGUAAGCAUGAAGAAGGCGACACUCUCAACUUGUGAAAACUGCAAGGGGAAGACUGACGCGCUCAAGAAGAUCAAAGGUAUAGCACAAUCUUUGCAUUGGAUCGCGGCCCUGAUUCCAUGAAAUCUCUGGUGCGGUUUUCCCAAUAGGGGUCGAUAAGGUGGAAUCGGAGUCGUCAGGCUGGUGGUGAUUGGAAAAUUUGAUGUGGACGACGUGCUAAAGGCGAUGGAUUGCCACCACAGUGUCCUUCGUUCCAUCGAGAACAAUUACGAGCCCCCCAAAAAGAAGGAAGCAGGCUCUAGCGUUAUAUAUGUGUACACCCACACCUACAACCAGUGGAAAACGUAUGAAACUAAAAAACGUAACGUUUUAAACGCGUUAAAAAACGCCGUUCUAAACUCCCAACGAGUUUGCACUAUUUGCGAAAAGAGACAAAGGUUUCUUUAGGGUUUCUUCAGAACUUCAUAAGGGAUCUCCCUCAUUGCUUUGCACGUUUUCACACCUCUUGCCCAAACUCCAGCACUCGCUCCGCUCCCCCAGUGUGAAUCUCAUGACAAU
Molecule: long non-coding RNA, 3503 nt
Filed under: Selaginella moellendorffii
Lineage: Eukaryota; Viridiplantae; Streptophyta; Lycopodiopsida; Selaginellales; Selaginellaceae
Description: long non-coding RNA (SMOE_LNC001502)
Source: RNAcentral